This is a long non-coding RNA of Ahaetulla prasina, 2792 nucleotides long. RefSeq lists it as uncharacterized. The record is from RefSeq and is a predicted model, not a curated record. NCBI's taxonomy places the organism in Eukaryota, Metazoa, Chordata, Lepidosauria, Squamata, Colubridae. The transcript has 3 exons.
UGAAAUUAACAUCAUAAGGAUUGGUCGAGUUUUUGGGCCAAGAUGGGCUGCCUGUAGUUUAAGGGCAACCAUAGCUGUGUGGCGUGCUUAUCCUGUGCUACAUCAAUAUUUUCAUGCGAAUGCAAAAUACUCAGGUAUGGCUGCUCGUCUAGAAAAUAAACAUUUCUUAAAUGAUUUGGUGUUGAUGAUAGAUAUUUUGGAAUAAAUUUCACUUCUUUCAAAUAUACUGCAAGCAAACAAUAGGGACAUAAUAAAAGCUAAAAAACUGGUGAGAAGAUCAAUAAAGGCAUUUAUUGAUCAUAUGGGAAAGGGCCCAUACGAAAGAAAAGUUGAAGGACUAAUUACCUCAGAAACCUUCAGGAAUAUAAAAUUCAUAGAAAACGAUUGAUUUGUUGGUCUUCAUCGAGAAAGUCUUUUACAAAGUAUCAACAAAAAUUUGCAGAAACGACUGAUGGACUGUGAGCAUUUAAAAACUGGGAACCAACUGCAAGACACCACAAAUAGACUACAGUUUCUACAGUUUUUGGUGCCAGAGAACUGAGAUUUUGAGGAAAUAGUCAUUCCAUGGGCAGCAGCUGAAGAACAACAGUGCACAUUUAGUGACAUUUUUAACUAAAAAAUUGACAUCAACAACUAUAGAGAUUUUGUGGAGAAUGUCUUGAAAGAUUCGAAGAGGUAUGCAAUUCCUGACAGUAUCAAAAAAGCAAAAGAUAUUGUCAGAACAAUUGCAGUGAGUUCUGCAGAAGCGGAAAGGGUUUUUUUGAAAAUGAACCUGAUAUGUUCAGAAAGCAAAAGUUGCCUAGCCAUUUCCAAUCUAACCAACUUCAUGACCAUCAGCGUUACUGGACUACCUCUUUCAAAAUGGGACCCUAUUCCUGCAGUGAAAAAAUGAUUCAGAGAACACCAUCGCUCAGCCAACGACCCGUGCGUCAAGUGCAAGAAAAGUAGAAGUGAGGAGAGUGCCACUGAAAUAGCUAUGUGGAAACAUCUCAAAGCUAAAGACGACUAACAGUUUUAUGUCAUUAUUAUCAUUGGUGCAAAAAGUGUCAUUGAAGACAAAACUUUUAUUGCUCUUCUGUCAAAAAAGGGCAAAGAAGUGACGUCGACUUGGCCACGCCCACCCAGUCAUCUGACCACAAAGCCAUGCCCACCCAGUUAUCAAAUCACGUCCACCAAUUAAGCCACACUCACAGAACCGGUAGUGAAAAUGUGUCCAUUUUUUCUCCCUUAUUUCAAUGUAUCCUUUAUACAUACAAGUCUAAUAUUAAUUUAUGUACAUAUAUACAUAUAAAUAACAGCGUACCCAAUUUCAUUUUUAUAAACUACAUUUUUUCUGCUUCCUCUUAUUUGUUGUUACAUUUCUACUUCUAUAUCUUCUUUAUUUGAUCUUUCCUUGCCUCUCCUCUCUCCUCUAGCCAUUUGUACCAUUUUUCCCACACUAUAUAAUAUUCUGUUUCCUCUUUUUCUUGUAUCUCCUUUGUAAGUUUAUCCAUUUCUGCACAUUACAAGACUUUUCUAAUCAAAUUAUCUUCGGUCAUUAUGUUACUGUUUUUCCAUUUCUGUGUGUAUAUUAUUCUUGCUACUGUGAUAAUAUGGAUGAUUAAAUAUUGUAUUUUUUUUUCAUAAGACCCUGGGAGUAUUCCUAAUAAAAAUGUUUCCGGUUUUAUCUCAAUAUGUUAUUUCUUCUAAUUGUAAUUUAAUCUUACUCCAAUACUGUUUUGCUUUGGGGCAUGUCCACCACAUGUGGUAGUAUAUUCCCCUUCGUUGUUUGCAUUUCUGUGCAUUUCCAACAUGUUGAUGAGGUAUUGGGAAACAUCUUAGCCAGUCUUGCUGGUGGCAAAUGCCACCUAUAGAACAUUUUAUAUAUAUUUUCUUUAUAGGGUAUAGACAUUGUCAGUUUGUAGUGUUUAUUGCAUAUUUUCUCCCAUUUAUCUAAUUCAAUGUUAUAUCCAAAAAAAUUUGCCCAGAUUAUCAUAUUUUCUUUGACUACCUCCUCUUCUAAUUUCUAUCUUAAUAAAUAAUUAUAAUUUUUUAAAAUCAAUUUAUCUUCUGUGCCUUGAAGAAUUUUAUCUAAUUUGUGUGUUUCUCUUUGGAAUCCGUAUUGUGUUAAAUCUGUCUUAUGACUUGAUUGUAUUUGCAUGUAAGGCCACUAAUCAAUGUCUGUACCCUGUUCUUUUAAUUCUUGCUGUGAUUUCAAUUCGCCUUGACUAUUUAAUAAAUCCUUGUAUCUUUUAAUUUUGCUAAUGUCCAGAAUAUCAAAUAAAUUUGCGCCUCCAUUGUAGAUAUCCAUUCUGGGAUUUUAUCAUAAUGAUUCUUUUUUAUCCCUUGCCAUGUUUGUAGUAAUGCAUCUCUAAUUAGGUGUCUCUGAAAGCAUCUGUAUUGUCUAUUCUUUCCUUCCCACCCUCUCUGUAAAUCGUGCCCCUCUAAGGUUAGAAUUCUUUUAUUUCUUAAUUCCAUCCAGUCUUUAAUCCAAAUAAGUGCUGUAGCUUUAUAAUAAAUUUCCCAACCUGGGAGUCCAAAACCUCACUUUCCCUACUAUCUUGUAAUGAUUGUAUUUUAAUUCUUGAUUUAUUUUCCUGCCAAAUAAAGUUUGCUAUUAAUUUAUUUAGGUCUUUAAAGAAUUUCCCCCCUAGUUUUAUGGGUACUACUUGGAACAAGAAUAAUAUUCGAGGUAAUAUGUUCAUUUUAAUUGAUACUAUUUUUCCUAAGAGCGAUAAUUGUAAUUUUUUCCAAAUUUCCAAAUCCUUCUUUAUCUGUAAUAUUUAUCAUAGUUAUCUUCUUUAAUCGAUGAG